UACAGGCAAAGGAGUUCCAGAAAACCUGUACAUACUCAAUGCAGUAGCCUUGCAUGGAAUCAACAGACUCGGACCUCAGUUCUGCAAUUUCCUGGAACAAAGUCUUGCCAGAUAGCUCUGACUGACCUGUACCUCAUGAGGCAGACAACGCUGGGCUCAGAAUCCUCAAGCUCUUUCUGCUUCAACCCUUUAGCCUUGCUCUGUAGCAGACUGCACACUGAAGCUGGGGAUGAAGUAAAAGUAAAGAUGAGAAGCCUCCACAGUGGAUCAUCCUCCUGCUACAGACGGCAGAUGAUCGACAUGUGAAAAAUAAUUCUUGCUGGGACUAAGUGCUAAAAAGAAAGUUACCCAAGUGGAGAGAAACGAAGAGUGACAGAGACAGAUUUACGGGGUUUCCUUUGGUAGAGUCCCUCUCAGAUGACUGUAUUAACAGCCACAGAACUGGGAACCCCCCAGCAGAGGGAUAUGGGCGUAGAAGGAACAGAGAGGAAACUGAGGCAGCUACAGGAAAGUCAUACAAAAUGAGGCACAAGAGGCUGGAAAGAGGUGGGAGCCAGGCUAUGAAGAAUUUUGUGGGUCUUUCUGGGGAGGGAGUUUUGGUUUUAUUCUCAGUGUGGUAGAAGAAAAACGAAGGAUUUAUGCAGAGGAAUGGUAGCACCUGAUGCCACCUUUACUGUUUGGUUUGAAGCCUGCUUUGAUGUAGCCCAGACUGGCUUCGAACUCCUGACUCUCCUAAGUGCUGGGGUUAUAGAUAUGCAUGACAAUGCCUGGUUUCUUGACUCCUUGUUGUUGUUGUUAAAACAUAUGUAUAAAACUUACCAUUUUAACUAA
This is a long non-coding RNA of Grammomys surdaster, 831 nucleotides long. RefSeq lists it as uncharacterized. The transcript is spliced from 3 exons. NCBI's taxonomy places the organism in Eukaryota, Metazoa, Chordata, Mammalia, Rodentia, Muridae. The record is from RefSeq and is a predicted model, not a curated record.